ACUACGGGAGGCAGCAGUGGGGGAUAUUGCACAAUGGGGGGAACCCUGAUGCAGCGACGCCGCGUGGGUGAAGAAGCGCCUCGGCGCGUAAAGCCCUGUCAGCAGGGAAGAAAAUGACGGUACCUGAAGAAGAAGCCCCGGCCAACUACGUGCCAGUAGCCGCGGUAAUACGUAGGGGGCAAGCGUUAUCCGGAUUUACUGGGUGUAAAGGGGGCGCAGACGUCGAUGCAAGCCAGGAGUGAAAGCCCGGGGCCCAACCCCGGGUCUGAUCUUGGAACUGCGUGGCUGGAGUGCAGGAGGGGCAGGCGGAAUUCCUGGUGUAGCGGUGAAAUGCGUAGAUAUCAGGAGGAACACCGGUGGCGAAGGCGGCCUGCUGGACUGCAACUGACGUUGAGGCCCGAAAGCGUGGGGAGCAAACAGGAUUAGAUACCCCAGUAGUC
Molecule: ribosomal RNA, 440 nt
Filed under: uncultured bacterium
Lineage: Bacteria
Description: partial 16S ribosomal RNA
Rfam family: Bacterial small subunit ribosomal RNA
Source: RNAcentral